UUGGAGGGCAAGUCUGGUGCCAGCAGCCGCGGUAAUUCCAGCUCCAAUAGCGUAUAUUAAAGUUGUUGCAGUUAAAAAGCUCGUAGUUGAAUUUCGGGGUCAGUAGGCUGGUCGUGCCACAGGUAUGUACUGGUCUCACUGAUUCCUCCUUCCUGAUGAACCGUAAUGCCAUUAAUUUGGUGUUGCGGGGAAUCUGGACUGUUACUUUGAAAAAAUUAGAGUGUUUAAAGCAGGCCAACGCUUGAAUACAUUAGCAUGGAAUAAUGAAAUAGGACGAUCGAUCCUAUUUUGUUGGUUUCUAGGAUUGACGUAAUGAUUAAUAGGGAUAGUUGGGGGCAUUAGUAUUCAAUUGUCAGAGGUGAAAUUCUUGGAUUUAUUGAAGACUAACUACUGCGAAAGCAUUUGCCAAGGAUGUUUUCAUUAAUCAAGAACGAAAGUUAGGGGAUCGAAGACGAUCAGAUACCGUCGUAGUCUUAACCAUAAACUAUGCCGACUAGAGAUCGGAUGAUGUUAAUUUUUUAAUGACUCAUUCGGCGCCUUACGGGAAA
Molecule: ribosomal RNA, 548 nt
Filed under: uncultured Glomeromycotina
Lineage: Eukaryota; Fungi; Glomeromycota
Description: SSU rRNA
Rfam family: Eukaryotic small subunit ribosomal RNA
Source: RNAcentral